This is a long non-coding RNA of Camellia sinensis, 1437 nucleotides long. RefSeq lists it as uncharacterized. NCBI's taxonomy places the organism in Eukaryota, Viridiplantae, Streptophyta, Magnoliopsida, Ericales, Theaceae. The record is from RefSeq and is a predicted model, not a curated record.
AAAAUAUAAACAAAUAAGCAAUUGUUUUUGAUAAAUCUUCUAUACAGUUGUUAUCUUCUUCAAAUUGAACAUAUUACUUUAUUCUUAAUUUUCUAUAAAUACUGAAAAAUUGUAUACAUUUACUCCAUAAUUAGGACAACGCAAAAACCUCCUAGUAGGAUUAGCAUGAGUUCACGGAGUUCUGAUCUUCGCUUUUAACCCACAGCUGUAACGAGUCAACUCACCCCAAUUGUUCCCACCCCAACUAUUACCUUCACUCAUUUUUGUCUUUCAUUUUGAUGGAAUAGAAAAUAGUUUGCACGACUAUGGAAAGAAAAAGAAGGUCAACAAUGAAGACAAACAGAAGGUCAACAAUGAGAAAAAAGAAAGGGAAAAAACCGUAUAAAACAACCAAAAAGGAACCCAUUUCUUAUCUCUAUCUCAAAGGCCAAAACUUUUUGAAAAAUCAACUAUAAAAUUGCUAUCUUCCUUCGAUUGCAUGACUUCAAUCGCAGGUUGAAUUACUAGGUGGGUUGCAUGGAGUUGUAAAUCACAAUGAAGGGGUGUCUUUUGCCCUAAAUCGUGAAGUUUAGGGAAAUUUUGGUGCCCAAAUCAGUCUUCCGUUAACUAAUAAAGAUGGAGAUAGACAGGAGAUCGGAUUGCAACACAGGUAGAAUGGUGGAAUACAAAUUGUUGCAAUUUGAAAUCUGGACUUUAAUUUGAAAAAGGCGUUAAAUCUUGGGAUUUUUUUUUGUGUAAUUUUUAAAAAGAAAUAAAAAUUGAGAAGAUUAUUUCAAAUAAAAUUGGCGGUUAUGAUAGAGACACCAAAUUUUCUACCAAAUAAAUGACCAAAUAUUUCACAGGGUAUGAGGUCUACAAUUUUAUAGGCUCCACACUUGAUCAUUUAUUUAGUAAAAAAUUUAAUACCUCAGCAUUUUCCAAAAUUGGGUGUUUUCGUCUUAUUUCCGUGGCAAACCAUUGAGAGAGAGAGAGAGAGCAGAGCUCCAACGAGAGACUGUCCCUUUCCACCGCCGGAAAAUCUCAGCACCACCAGCUCCGCCGCAUCGACAUCCACAAGAUAACAGGUUGUGUUGGUUUGGAUUCCUUCUUCUCUGUACACUUGUAUCAUUGUAUGGAGCCACCGUCGCAGUAUAGUAUAGAAGAUUUGCAACUAGUCCUUCCAUCUUUUCUGUCUUUUCAUUCUCCCCCCAAUUUUUGGAAGGAAAAUGCGAAUUACUCCGACUAGGCCAACUGAUUAAGUAGGCCGACUUACGUGUCUACUGAAAAGUAGUCUUUCUUUCUCAAUGUUAAUUAGUCUUUAUUUGGGAUAUAGGUUGUUUUUAAAUUAUUUUUGUUUGUAACUAAAAAGUCUCGUUUGAGAUGAAUUUUUUAGUUUUUUUAUUUUUGUGAGAAAAAAAUAUAAAAUAAUUAUAAUUUAGAUGUGACAUUUUAUCUUUA